Molecule: long non-coding RNA, 212 nt
Filed under: Brassica napus (rape)
Lineage: Eukaryota; Viridiplantae; Streptophyta; Magnoliopsida; Brassicales; Brassicaceae
Description: long non-coding RNA (BNAP_LNC026599)
Source: RNAcentral
AAACUGAAAAUUAAAUAAAUAAGUUUUGUAUUGUUCAACAUAUAUUUAGUUUAACGAUUUCAAGAAUAUUCUUAUAAUUAAUUUUACAUAAUUUCAUAUCUAAAUUCAGAUCCAUGCGCUCGAAUUGAACUAAAAAUUUUGGAUUCCAAACAUUGUUAUUUGAACAAAGCCAAAAACUAAAAUAACAAAACCCAAAAGAAACCAAACUCAAA